GAUGAAGAACGGAGCGAAAUGCGAUAAGUAAUGCGAAUUGCAGAAUCCGUGAGUCAUCGAAUCUUUGAACGCACAUUGCGCCCUUUGGUAUUCCGAAGGGCAUGCCUGUUCGAGCGUCAUUAUCACCCCUCAAGCCCCGGCUUGGUGUUGGGCUCUCGGUGGUCGUCUCCGACCACCCGUCUCAAAGAAAGUGACGGCGUCCCAGAGGGAACCGGUACGAGGAGCUUUCACGAGCAUGUACGCGGGACGACUCUGCGGGCGACGGUCUUAUUUACUUUAUAUACAAGUGAUGACCUCGGAUCAGGGAGGAAUACCCGCUGAACUUAAGCAUAUCAAUAAGCGGAGGA
RNAcentral lists this unclassified non-coding RNA (347 nucleotides) under soil metagenome. RNAcentral describes it as "partial contains 5.8S ribosomal RNA, internal transcribed spacer 2, and large subunit ribosomal RNA". The stretch from base 1 to 119 matches the Rfam family "5.8S ribosomal RNA", at positions 35 to 154 of the family's 154-position model. The record is from RNAcentral.